Felis catus (domestic cat) is the source of this 2473-nucleotide long non-coding RNA. RefSeq lists it as uncharacterized. The transcript is spliced from 2 exons. Lineage: Eukaryota; Metazoa; Chordata; Mammalia; Carnivora; Felidae. The record is from RefSeq and is a predicted model, not a curated record.
AGCCGAGCCCAGCCGAGCCGAGCGCUGUCGUGGGGGGCCUCGGACAAGCGCUGCCUGCAGGGCUGGGGCUCCGACUGCCCGUCACUAGCAAGAGCCGCCGAGCCCCGGGCCUUCCCCCAGCGCCUCCCUGAGGGCGCCGCCCCGCAGGCUGCCCACUACCAGCCCUCGCCUCUCGCUCCCUGCCGGCGACUCCCCCAGGAGGGCUUACGGGAGGCUGGCGACCAGUGGGCAAGACCUUUCCCUGCACGCGCGCCAGCUCGAGCACUCCGGUCCAAGGUCACUGCUGGUCGACUCCAGAAGAGCAAGGAAAGCCGGGCCUGGCAUAGUUUGAGCUGCCCCCACCGUCCGUGUCCACGCACAGCCCUGGGGCUGCUACUCAGCCAGCGUGCUGGGAAGUACCUUAAAUCCCUCCUGGCGCAGCCUGCCAAGCAUCCUCCCAGUCAGACACCAUAUGCCAGGGACGGCUGGAGGAAAUGGGCUCUCCCCAAUUUACCAAGGAGGAACCUGGGGCAGAGAGGAACAGGACUGGCCUUAAGAGCACCCAGCAGCUGGUGCCAGAGCCAGGAUCUCACCCCAGACUUCCACCCUGUCUCCUGACCAGUGUCCACAACAGAAAACCUCCCAACUUUCACGGAAGAGGCCCUGAGGUACAUACCUGUGUCUGCUGCUGAAGGGAAUCAUCGCUGGGGCUCAGGAGCAUGGGGAACAUUGUCCAGGGGAGAGCAACGAUGCCACUCGACCACUAGUUGGUCCACACUCCGUUUUCCUCCCACGGUGGGUACAGAUUUGCUGAGUGAAGGAACCACCAUGUGCACUCACCAUGCAGUGAGCCAGGGCAAGCUCUGGGGCACAGAAGGUUGCCCUGAGCAGAAGACAGCGGGGUCAGAGGGCAGGCAAGUGUUGGUAAGGGCCCACUGGGAGCUCAUUCACACGUCGGGUCGUGCCGGUAUCGUGUCACACAGGGGAGUAACGAUCUAAAGAGGGAGGCUCUCUCUCUCCCCAUCCAUGGCCUCUACCAAUUUCAAACGGGCCACCACAGUUGGAGAAGCCAGAUCCCUAAGGCAAGUGACCGUGUCUGAAGAGAUGUUGGUGAGGGGAAGGGCCCUCCAGAGAGGACCGUGUCUCCAGGCCACAGUGCACAACCCAAACCCAGGGCUGGCAGGGGGCACAGAGGAAAGGUGCCCCACGCCCCAACCCCUCCCUGAAACAAGAUGUUAACAAAGUUCCUCGUCUGUUGGCGGAAAGUGGAGGGACAUCCAGUGCACCCCCUUGCGAGACGUCCGACCCAGACGUCGCCCCAAACACGACCGAGCAGCUGCAGGGCCGAGGGUGACAGGCCUUCCCUGGGGCAUGGACUAGACGGCUGAGAACACUGGUUCCACCAUUAAGCACCUGAGUCAAAGAGGGGACCUGGGGAGGCAGCUUGGAACCACGUUUGCAAAGGAGCUGCUGGCGGGGGGCGGUGUGGUGGCUGUGCUUCAUGGGUGUUCCAGGCCACCACAGCCUCUCCCUCCUGGGAGGCCGCUUGCUGGGCAGGGAAGCUGGCAGCCACAGCUGGCCCUCUAAUCCAUCCCACGUGACAGCUGGAGAGAGUUGCUGCCUGUGGAAAAGCCUCUGACUGCUCUCAGAAUAAAACUCUUGGUGUCCCUAUGAGGUCCUGUAGCAUCUGCACCCCGACACUCCUCAAAUCUGACACUCCAGCAACUGGAGACACUUCGGGCUUCUUUCUGCUCAGCGGUCACACCAGGCUCCCUCUGGCCUCAGGGCCUUUGCACUUGCUGUGCUGGCUGCCUGGGCUCUCUUCCAGGACCAGCUCUUUCCCAUCCUGCACUGCUCAGCCGAAAUUCCUCCUCAGAGAAGCCCUCCUCAACCACAGGUUAAAUCAAGGACCCCAUGCGACUCCAUCCUGUCACCACCAGCCGACGCUCUUCCCAACAGUAACCAAAACCGCGCAGGGCCUCACAGCCUAGAACACUAACUCCCAGGAGCCUGAACCUCGCGUGUCUCGGCCCUCUCCAGCCCGGCACACAGGGAGGUGCCGAGUAUCUGGGAUGGAUCAGCGAUACCGACGGCACCUGCAGCAGCGACCUGCACACCUGGACGUGCUGGCUCCUCCUCCACUGCUCGUAACGGGCCCCGCUCCCACCCAGAAUCGGCACGACGACCGGAGCUGUCAUCAACGGGAUCCCACGUGCCUCACACACCAUCUCCUACACCCUCACCCCUCUUAAAGUCCUGUGUCACAGACACCUCACACACGAGGAAACGGAGGCUGCGGCCACACAGCCCCGGCUGUGCGAGCCCCGGCUCGCACUGUCGGGGCUUGUGAGCGGCCAUGAGCCCCUCAGCUGUCCUGCCUCCAGACCGGGAGACAGCAGAGGUCCCUCGGUGCUAUGCGCAGAGGAAGGAAUGGACGAGAUAUUGCUGCAUGAUUUUAUUACUAUAAAUAUACAGUAAAAACGAACAAAAACCA